GGAUCUCAAAGGAAAGAUGCCAAAUAAGAUGAUUCGAAAAGGUGUGUUCAAAGAUCAGCAUUUUGAUCAAAAUCUCAACUUCAUGUACAUAGAAGUUGAUAAAGUAACAGAGAGGGAGAAAGUUACUGUUAUGAGCACCAUUAAUCCAACUAAGGACCUGUUGGCUGACUUGAUUGGGUGUCAGAGACUUCCUGAAGACCAACGUAAGAAAGUACACCAGCUAAAGGACUUGUUGGACCAGAUUCUGAUGCUGGACCCAGCUAAACGAAUUAGCAUCAACCAGGCCCUACAGCAUGCCUUCAUCCAGGAAAAAAUUUAAACAAGAUGAAGAAACUCCAAGGGUUUGAGUAAAUACAAAGACUGAAGAAAUUUCACAGCAGUUUAUUAAUGUGUGUGUGUGCAGGCCACAGCAGCAUGCCCUUGGUGUAGUCAGUGCCGAAAGGGGUCUGUUCCUUCUUGAGCCUGCCUGCAGGGAUGGUCUCCUUUUAAAGCAGGUUGUGUGCAGCAUUCAGUACACUGAAGGCAUAAACCUUCCACUCUUGAACAAAGCAGCUGCUUUUUAAAAGCGGUAAUUGCUUCUUUACCUUUUAUUUCUUUUGUAAAUGAAGCUUUUCUUUAAGAAUGUGACUUUAAAGUGUUGUCUAUUGCAUAAAACAGUUGACACUCACUUAUUGUAAAGUGAAGAUUGUUCUACUGCAUGUGAAGUGGACCAUGCAGAUUUCUGUAUGUUCUCAGUAUGCAUCACUAGAUAAUAAAGUCUUUUGUGAACAAGGCAUUUGUAGCCAUUUUUAAAAGUUUUUGUCUUCAGUGCUGGUAAGUCAGGUAAACCAUAAAUAGUUAAAAGCAACCUUUUGUUUUUUUUCCUGAAAGUUUUUAAUUGAAAGUAUUAUUAGUUAAAGAUGUAAACCUAGCCAAAAUUACCAGUUUAUUAAUAAUUAGGAUCCUAAUUAUUUCAAAAAAUCCUACAAAUAUUGUCAGCUUUCAGUGUAGUGAGAUUAUUCCUGUAGGUUAUGGGGUAUAAUUCAGGAUUUAACUAAUGUUUCUGCUAUUUUCUCACUUUUCCUUUUGAUGGUGCGGAAAGAGAAAAAGGAAAACGGGGCACAGGCCAUUCGACGCCUUCUCCAAGGGGUCUGAUUUGCUGAGACACCAGCUUCACCUUCUUAACAAGGCACCUAAUUACAACAAGCAUGCACAUUUUGGUGCAUUCAAGAAUGGAAAAUCAGAAUAGCAGCAUUGAUUCUUCUGGUGCAGCUCAGUGGAAGAUGAUGACAACCAGAAGACAUGAGCUAAGGUUUCUGUCCUAUAAAAGAUUUAUUUAAAAACAAUCCUUCAUUUAGUUUUUGUCUAAUUUUUUAGUUUUCAGCAUUAUGAUUUGGGUUUUAUUAGUGUUUGGUAUUUAGAAUUAGUGCUAUUGUGGUGUUCAUCUGUAAAGUGCUUGUUUUAUCAUACUUCCUGCCUCUCCCCUCCCCCAGUUUCUCCUCCCCUAAAAUAAAAAUAGUGGUCAACUUUAGUAAUAUAAAAGGCUGUUGGACGCUGAGAUUCCACAUAACACAUGGUUGUCAAAAUUGGAUCUUCAGGAUUCUUAGAAAAACCACCAGAAUAGCAUAUAUCUAAAAGUAGUCUUCAGCUUUAGGCAGAUGCAAAAGAAUAGAAACUGGAAUAUUAAGAAUACUGUUCAACUCCUUUAGUAUCUAUUCCCCAUCUUACCCUUUAGACACCUCG
RNAcentral lists this small RNA (1722 nucleotides) under Pongo abelii (Sumatran orangutan). Its description in RNAcentral is "processed transcript". Lineage: Eukaryota; Metazoa; Chordata; Mammalia; Primates; Hominidae. The record is from RNAcentral.